This 72-nucleotide transfer RNA is filed under the name Phrynosoma platyrhinos (Desert horned lizard). Its description in RNAcentral is "tRNA-OTHER". The record is from RNAcentral. Lineage: Eukaryota; Metazoa; Chordata; Lepidosauria; Squamata; Phrynosomatidae.
GCCAGCAUGGCAUAGUGGUUUGAGUGUUGGACUAGGACUCAGGAGACCAGGGUUCCAAUCCCGGCUCAGCCA